Molecule: ribosomal RNA, 915 nt
Filed under: Triticum aestivum (bread wheat)
Lineage: Eukaryota; Viridiplantae; Streptophyta; Magnoliopsida; Poales; Poaceae
Description: partial small subunit ribosomal RNA
Source: RNAcentral
UUACUCCAUGGAUGUCGCCCACCCACGUGUGGGUCCUUCCCCUCUUUCCUGUGCCGAAUCUUUGCUGCCCACACCACCCAUGGCGUCUCUCAAACCGGCGGCAAGGAAGCGGGUGCAUGGCAACACGCAAGGCCAUCGCAACCCUUCAGACCCGCCUAGAGGCCACCAACAUUCGGCCCACUGGCCUCUUGCCUCUCGUGCCUGCAUGUAGAACCAACGCCACCCCCAAGCCGACACAUCGAGGAAGAGGGUGUCGGCGCGAAAGUGGUUGGUCGUUGAGCUGGCGGGAGGGCCCUCUAACCCUCGCGCCUCCCUCCCACCCCUCAAAGCCCUUCUCCACCCGCCAUUGAUACCGACAAGCUCGGCAUGGUUGACGCCUCUGAGGUACUCGACUGAAUGCCCACAAGUUACGAAUUCUUUCAUGAGCAUGAUGAGUGACUCCGGGCGCAUAGAUGGCAUCAACUAUUGGUUGUGACACUUCAUGUGGCAGGGGAAAUGAUCAAACCGGCGUCAACUAUUGGAAAGGUCGUUAAGGAGGAAUUUCAUUGCAACGUGAAGACCCUCCUACCGAUGUGAACUGCUCCCUCCGUCCCAUAAUAUAAGAACGUUUUUGAUGUAGUGCCAAAAACGUUCUUAUAUUAUGGGACAGAGGGAGUAUUACAGAUUAUGUGGUUCAUUCGGAUGUGAUGUAUAGCAUUGUAAUGUUGUUGAGUUGUGUGGGGUAGAAACAUAAAAGUAUGAAAUCUUGUGAUGUGAAAUUGAAAGUUGUUGGAGAUGUACGGAAGGAAGAUAAAUGGAUGGGGAGAGAUGUAGGGGUUGCACUUGCAGUUUAAAGGGAUCUGCUGGAGUUGAGCACCGUGGAUUGUGCAUGCCCUGAUGAAAUCCUGGACCUUGUCAAACCGGUGGUUCCUUUGC